Molecule: long non-coding RNA, 315 nt
Filed under: Brassica napus (rape)
Lineage: Eukaryota; Viridiplantae; Streptophyta; Magnoliopsida; Brassicales; Brassicaceae
Description: long non-coding RNA (BNAP_LNC017510)
Source: RNAcentral
AGGGGUGUUUGUCGAUCGAUGCUGAUGCAGUUGCUUCGGCCGCACGCUAUGUCUGUAUCAUGGCUAUGUAUUGCCUCAUCUCCUCCAUGCAUGUAGUCAACCAACUGAUGAUAUCAUUAAGUGGGUAGUACACACCAUCAAGCUUCAUCUGGAAGUCACCUUCAUUCUUUUCUUGGGCUCCACAAACUCCAUAAAGCAUCUCAUUGAUCUCAUCCUUGGUGUAGAUCUCGGGUACUAGCUUGGUUUGUGUGAAUGACCUAGCAUGUUCUGGAAGACAUAGGUAGUUGUGCUCAUCCAUUGAGGCUCUUUCCAGAA